RNAcentral lists this ribosomal RNA (371 nucleotides) under uncultured bacterium. RNAcentral's name for it is "bacterial SSU rRNA". It matches the Rfam family "Bacterial small subunit ribosomal RNA", at positions 521 to 896 of the family's 1533-position model. The record is from RNAcentral.
UAAUACGAAGGGGGCGAGCAUUGUUCGGAAUUACUGGGCGUAAAGGGUGCGUAGGCGGAUCGGAUAGUCAGAUGUGAAAGCCCAAGGCUUAACCUUGGAAUUGCAUUUGAUACUGCCAGUCUGGAGUAUUGGAGAGGAGCGUGGAAUUCCCAGUGUAGAGGUGAAAUUCGUAGAUAUUGGGAGGAACACCAGUGGCGUAGGCGACGCUCUGGCCAAAUACUGACGCUGAGGCACGAAAGUGUGGGGAGCAAACAGGAUUAGAUACCCUGGUAGUCCACACCGUAAACGAUGUGUGCUAGUCGUUGGGCGCAAGCUCAGUGACGCAGCUAACGCUUGAAGCACACCGCCUGGGGAGUACGGUCGCAAGAUUA